Molecule: ribosomal RNA, 452 nt
Filed under: uncultured bacterium
Lineage: Bacteria
Description: SSU rRNA
Rfam family: Bacterial small subunit ribosomal RNA
Source: RNAcentral
CGGCUUAGAGUUUGAUCCUGGCUCAGAAUGAACGCUGGCGGCGUGCCUAACACAUGCAAGUCGAGCGAGAAAGUUCCUUCGGGAGCGAGUACAGCGGCGAACGGUUGAGUAACACGUGAGAAUCUACCCUUUAGUGAAGAAUACCCUCGAGAAAUCGAGAUUAAUACUGCAUACGUCCCUUCGGGGAGAAAGAUGGCCUCUUUGCUAUCGCUAAAGGAUGAGCUUGCGGCCUAUCAGCUAGUUGGUGAGGUAAUAGCUCACCAAGGCUAUGACGGGUAACUGACCCGAGAGGGUGAUCAGUCAGAUUGGAACUUAGACACGGUCCAGACUCCUACGGGAGGCAGCAGUGGGGAAUCUUGCGCAAUGGGCGAAAGCCUGACGCAGCGACGCCACGUGGAGGAUGAAGGUCUUAGGAUUGUAAACUUCUGUUAAGUGGGAAGAAAUCCCUCAUA